Molecule: ribosomal RNA, 396 nt
Filed under: Triticum aestivum (bread wheat)
Lineage: Eukaryota; Viridiplantae; Streptophyta; Magnoliopsida; Poales; Poaceae
Description: partial small subunit ribosomal RNA
Source: RNAcentral
AUGGGGCAUAUCAUAUCGUAUCCAUCAGAUCGUGUCGUUAAACAAAUGCAUCAUUGUACCAUUACCGAUUCAAUAAUCGGAGAAUCAAGGGUGGCUACCAAAAGCAGCAAUUGUUUUUGUGCAAGAGGGUCUGGUCUUUUGAUAGAUUAUUGGCUUAUUGCAGGGUGGCCUCAACCGAAACGUGAUGGCGUGGGUGAGAGCCAGGAAGCUGCUGUCCGAGGCAAGUGUGAAGAGCACCAGUGUGGAUGCCCGCCCGCACAGCCCCUGACCCUUGACACAAACCUCAUCUCUUCUGUAGUCAAUGUGAGAGUCCAAUCCUCCCUCUCCUUCCUCAUCGCCCUCUUUCCUGACCAGGUCAGGCUUAAUCAUCUGGUUCUCAUGCUAAAGUUUGAUUAG